This is a long non-coding RNA of Capra hircus (goat), 750 nucleotides long. RefSeq lists it as uncharacterized. The record is from RefSeq and is a predicted model, not a curated record. The transcript has 4 exons. NCBI's taxonomy places the organism in Eukaryota, Metazoa, Chordata, Mammalia, Artiodactyla, Bovidae.
UAUGGCAGAAACCAACAGAAAAUGGAAAAACAAUUUUUCCCGAUGAAAAAAUUUUUGAAAGAAAUGAUACUAAAGCUAUUUGAAUGCCUUUUUGUAUGCAAAGACCUAGUUCCACAUUACUCUUUUCAGUUUUUCAGCAGAAUUCGAAAAUUGGCGUGACAAGAGGUUUAGACAUCUUUUAAAAAUUGCGUUCUAGAAACAUCUAUUUAUGUAUGUGUGUACUGCUCACUAGCCUUCAUUUAAUUGCCAUACUUUGAAAAAAAUUUGUUCUGGAAGGAAUUGUUUUAUUUUUUGCUUUGAGACCAAUAUUUUAUGUUUUGUGUUUUUAUUCAUUACGGAAUCUGAGCUGUGUGUCCUCCGGUUGAUACUCGAAGACUCAAAGGGAUCAUUCAGCAGCUGUGGAACUUUUUCUAUUCUGCCAGAAUGUUCAUGGGCUCCUCUGCCUGCAGUUGCAGCAUGAAGACCGCCUGAAGGCAGAGAGCGGCGGAGUCAUCAGGAAGGGGAACCCUCUCCAGGGCCCUAGAGUGGGCUCACACGUGCUGACAAAGCAAGAGACUUGGCUGGAGGGGCGCCCGGGAGGACAGCAGCAGGCUAGGGCAUGGAGGAGAAAUAUACUUCCAUGUUUGCUUACAGGGAACUCUAGAAGGACCCGUAAGAAACAAAACACUACCUGCGGAGGGCAGACGGCCCUGGGCACACAGGCUAAACGACAGGAGGCACAAAUUAAGGCGAGUAUAUAAUAUAUCUCUA